AUAAUUUGAUUCAUUAGCGUACGUAAGAAAGCACCUAAAGCUUGCAAAAUUUAUGAUUUCACCCGCGCGUCUUCCUCCGCCCACUUUUGUGACGUCACCGAGGCGCAACUGUCGCGCAUCUAUAGUUAACUACGUGGCAAGAUGGCAAUUUAAUGACACAACGAUGACGUGACACAGACUAAAAACUUUUUGCGAUAUAUAGGUCUACCAGAAUCUGAUGGCAAAA
This is a long non-coding RNA of Pieris napi, 226 nucleotides long. RefSeq lists it as uncharacterized. Lineage: Eukaryota; Metazoa; Arthropoda; Insecta; Lepidoptera; Pieridae. The transcript has 2 exons. The record is from RefSeq and is a predicted model, not a curated record.